RNAcentral lists this ribosomal RNA (450 nucleotides) under uncultured bacterium. RNAcentral describes it as "bacterial SSU rRNA". It matches the Rfam family "Bacterial small subunit ribosomal RNA", at positions 355 to 825 of the family's 1533-position model. The record is from RNAcentral.
UCAAGAAACUUCCACAAUGGGCGAAAGCCUGAUGGAGCGACGUCGCGUGAUGGACGAAGUGCUUCGGCACGUAAACAUCUUUUAUGUGGGAUGAAAUUAUUGACAGUACCACAUGAAUAAGGGGCUCCUAACUCUGUGCCAGCAGGAGCGGUAAUACAGAGGCCCCAAGCGUUAUCCGGAAUCACUGGGCGUAAAGGGUGUCGAGGCGGUUGUAUUAGCCGUUCGUAAAAUCUACGAGCUUAACUUGUAGGGGGCGAACGAAACGGUACGACUUGAGGUUUGGAGAGGUGCGUGGAACUCACGGUGUAGGGGUGAAAUCCGUUGAUAUUGUGGGGAACACCAAAGGCGAAGGCAGCGCACUGGCCAAAAUCUGACGCUCACACACGAAAGCUAGGGUAGCGAAGAGGAUUAGAUACCCCGGUAGUCCCUGAGCGGGCUGGCAAGGCGCAU